UAUCACUCCUAACGGAGUUUUAAAGGGAACUCACUGUGUGUCUGUUUGGCCAGCUUGUCGGAUCGUUCAGUAUUCAGAAGUGUAAGGCAUUCUGAGAGUAGGCCGCGGAUUAGAGGCAGCGUCGUUGAUUAGUACUCAAAGCGUCCUGGGUCCCGUGUUAAAACCCGCCACCGCCUCAGUUUUGUUUAAUAACAAGCAUUGGCGGCCGAAGACUUCCAGCAUAAGAAGUCACCCCUCAUUAUUCCAACGGCCUUGUCAAAGACAGCGGAAAAGCGGACAGAGGUUCAGGUGGGAAACUGCCCUAAAGGCGGAAGAAUAGCAAUGAUCAGUGGCAUGAGGAUGCAUUAGCAGGCAAUGGAAACCAUAGCAUUAAAGACACAUAACGUGUAUCCACAUGACAUGUGGUCUGUAAUUAAAAAAUUACAAUUACAUGAGACACAUCUUCCGGAAGACGAAAACCGAAUUUUGGAAACUUUUUCGCUAUUGCGUUUACAUGUUAAGACUUGAAUGGGAUUUGCUAACCUAGUUAAAUGGCGCCUGGAAAACAGCUGUUACAGUUUAUGAUUAAUCGCUUGGUUGUAGGAUUAAAGGGACCAGACUGCUACGGUCAUCGGUCCAGCACAAUCGCUAUUUCUCUUCAACUACACGAGGCGUAAACAGUUUCAGUCUAACAUUUCUACUUAUCCUUCACUGUACAAAAAGCCAACCCGUUCAUAUUAGCCGAAAAUUUUUAAAAACAAGACGAACAUUGACAGCCCAAGCACGUUUCAAAACCGGCUGCAUUUACAUGGGAGCGAAAAUAGACUGCAAAUUGGAAAACCGGUUAGCAGAAACGGAUUUCCACAAUAGAUUUUGGAAUGUUUACAUGACCACCCAGGCGCGGUAUUCGGAAAUAGGUUUACCAAAUCAGGUUUCGGGAGCCCCAUAUAACUGGGGUGAGUGUGUGACAUCUCGAUCGAUACGAUAACAAAUACAACACGGUCGGUGGAAGUAUUCUAAAGACAGUGAAGUAGUGAAUUUUACUUCCGCUUGUUGGAAGACUACUGAACAGUAAUUCGCAGCCGAUCGUAUACUGACGAAGAAGCAAUCCAUCAUGGACUAGAAGAGGAAUAAUUAGCAGUGAAGUGAACAACAUAGUGUAACACCACAAUAGGCGACGUGUGUGGUGGACAACGACUUUCUUGCAGCCGUUGGAGGUGUCCAAUGCAGCAGAAGUGCAAUAAAUGGAGUGGGCGGCUGGGCAUCCAGGUCGCGGAGAACGGAGUAGAAAUAGUUGGUAGUGUGCCAGCGCCACGCAACUACUUCCUUGCCACACUGAAUCAAGGUACGUUGAACGUCAAGUAUGGCACAUUCCAGCCACCAAGUCAAGGUUCUGCAGUACGUAGGUAAGCGAUUUUCACGUGUGGCCCAUGUUGCGGAAACGGAUUGAAGACAUUGAGGAUCAUGAAAAUGGCAAGUGUUUAGCUUCCGCGGUGCAUGAGUGCACCAGACAACUUGGUGCAGGAGGAGGAUGUUGCAGAUGUAGGCAAAGUGGUCCGAAAAGGCCAAGGGCCAAAGUUCUGCAGCUUGGUGUGCAGAUGUGCGCUUCUGAGAGACUCAAAUCCUGUCAAGGCGGCUCAUUGAGUGACUCAUCUGGUAAGUAUGUCCAGGUGCAUCAUCCUGCUGAACUUCCCAAGUGUCAUGGAUCAACAGAUCACGGACAACAAGGCACAACUGUUGACAGGUGUUGUAGUGGGGCAUUUGACCCAUAGGAUGCAGGACACAAUUAAAAUCACCCCCAAGCAAGUAACAGUGACAGUGCCCAAGAAACAAAGGGGUGAUUUCUUCUGAAUAGAUGUUUGCCAUGCACCGCCU
Schistocerca gregaria is the source of this 1854-nucleotide long non-coding RNA. RefSeq lists it as uncharacterized. The record is from RefSeq and is a predicted model, not a curated record. NCBI's taxonomy places the organism in Eukaryota, Metazoa, Arthropoda, Insecta, Orthoptera, Acrididae. The transcript is spliced from 3 exons.